RNAcentral lists this ribosomal RNA (164 nucleotides) under Pinanga limosa. RNAcentral describes it as "5.8S rRNA". It matches the Rfam family "5.8S ribosomal RNA". Rfam says of the family: 5.8S ribosomal RNA (5.8S rRNA) is a component of the large subunit of the eukaryotic ribosome. It is transcribed by RNA polymerase I as part of the 45S precursor that also contains 18S and 28S rRNA. Lineage: Eukaryota; Viridiplantae; Streptophyta; Magnoliopsida; Arecales; Arecaceae. The record is from RNAcentral.
AUGAUGACUCUCGGCAAUGGAUAUCUCGGCUCUCGCAUCGAUGAAGAACGUAGCGAAAUGCGAUACUUGGUGUGAAUUGCAGAAUCCCGUGAACCAUCGAGUCUUUGAAUGCAAGUUGCGCCCGAGGCCACCCGGUCGAGGGCACGCCUGGCUGGGCGUCAUGC